AAUAGAUACCCGUGGUAGUCCACGCCGUAAACGAUGAACACUAGGUGUAGGGGGUGUCGACUCCCCCUGUGCCGAAGCUAACGCAUUAAGUGUUCCGCCUGGGGAGUACGGCCGCAAGGCUAAAACUCAAAGGAAUUGACGGGGGCCCGCACAAGCAGCGGAGCAUGUGGUUUAAUUGGACGCAACGCCAAGAACCUUACCCGGGCUUGACAUGUUCCUGACCGGCCUGGAAACAGGUCUUCCCUUCGGGGCAGGAUCACAGGUGGUGCAUGGCUGCCGUCAGCUCGUGUCGUGAGAUGUUGGGUUAAGUCCCGCAACGAGCGCAACCCCCGUCGCAUGUUGCCAGCAUUAAGUUGGGGACUCAUGCGAGACUGCCGGUGACAAACCGGAGGAAGGUGGGGAUGACGUCAAGUCAUCAUGCCCCUUAUGUCCGGGGCUACACACGUGCUACAUUGGCGCGUACAGAGGGCUGCGAUACCGGCGAGGUGGAGCGAAUCCCUUAAAGCGCGUCUCGGUUCGGAUUGCAGGCUGAAACCUCG
This 539-nucleotide ribosomal RNA is filed under the name uncultured bacterium. RNAcentral describes it as "bacterial SSU rRNA". It matches the Rfam family "Bacterial small subunit ribosomal RNA", at positions 777 to 1314 of the family's 1533-position model. The record is from RNAcentral.